This 1689-nucleotide ribosomal RNA is filed under the name Salmonella enterica subsp. enterica serovar Bovismorbificans. Its description in RNAcentral is "partial 23S ribosomal RNA". It matches the Rfam family "Bacterial large subunit ribosomal RNA", at positions 1205 to 2873 of the family's 2925-position model. The record is from RNAcentral. Lineage: Bacteria; Pseudomonadati; Pseudomonadota; Gammaproteobacteria; Enterobacterales; Enterobacteriaceae.
GUUUAAGGAUACGUUCGUUGGGUAGGGGAGCGUUCUGUAAGCCUGCGAAGGUGGCCUGUGAGGGUUGCUGGAGGUAUCAGAAGUGCGAAUGCUGACAUAAGUAACGAUAAAGCGGGUGAAAAGCCCGCUCGCCGGAAGACCAAGGGUUCCUGUCCAACGUUAAUCGGGGCAGGGUGAGUCGACCCCUAAGGCGAGGCCGAAAGGCGUAGUCGAUGGGAAACGGGUUAAUAUUCCCGUACUUGGUGUUACUGCGAAGGGGGGACGGAGAAGGCUAUGUUGGCCGGGCGACGGUUGUCCCGGUUUAAGCGUGUAGGUGUGUGUUCCAGGUAAAUCCGGUUCACUUUAACACUGAGGCGUGAUGACGAGGCACUACGGUGCUGAAGCAACAAAUGCCCUGCUUCCAGGAAAAGCCUCUAAGCAUCAGGUAACACGAAAUCGUACCCCAAACCGACACAGGUGGUCAGGUAGAGAAUACCAAGGCGCUUGAGAGAACUCGGGUGAAGGAACUAGGCAAAAUGGUGCCGUAACUUCGGGAGAAGGCACGCUGACACGUAGGUGAAGUGAUUUACUCAUGGAGCUGAAGUCAGUCGAAGAUACCAGCUGGCUGCAACUGUUUAUUAAAAACACAGCACUGUGCAAACACGAAAGUGGACGUAUACGGUGUGACGCCUGCCCGGUGCCGGAAGGUUAAUUGAUGGGGUCAGCGCAAGCGAAGCUCCUGAUCGAAGCCCCGGUAAACGGCGGCCGUAACUAUAACGGUCCUAAGGUAGCGAAAUUCCUUGUCGGGUAAGUUCCGACCUGCACGAAUGGCGUAAUGAUGGCCAGGCUGUCUCCACCCGAGACUCAGUGAAAUUGAACUCGCUGUGAAGAUGCAGUGUACCCGCGGCAAGACGGAAAGACCCCGUGAACCUUUACUAUAGCUUGACACUGAACAUUGAGCCUUGAUGUGUAGGAUAGGUGGGAGGCUUUGAAGUGUGGACGCCAGUCUGCAUGGAGCCGACCUUGAAAUACCACCCUUUAAUGUUUGAUGUUCUAACGUGGACCCGUUACCCGGGUUGCGGACAGUGUCUGGUGGGUAGUUUGACUGGGGCGGUCUCCUCCUAAAGAGUAACGGAGGAGCACGAAGGUUGGCUAAUCCUGGUCGGACAUCAGGAGGUUAGUGCAAUGGCAUAAGCCAGCUUGACUGCGAGCGUGACGGCGCGAGCAGGUGCGAAAGCAGGUCAUAGUGAUCCGGUGGUUCUGAAUGGAAGGGCCAUCGCUCAACGGAUAAAAGGUACUCCGGGGAUAACAGGCUGAUACCGCCCAAGAGUUCAUAUCGACGGCGGUGUUUGGCACCUCGAUGUCGGCUCAUCACAUCCUGGGGCUGAAGUAGGUCCCAAGGGUAUGGCUGUUCGCCAUUUAAAGUGGUACGCGAGCUGGGUUUAGAACGUCGUGAGACAGUUCGGUCCCUAUCUGCCGUGGGCGCUGGAGAACUGAGGGGGGCUGCUCCUAGUACGAGAGGACCGGAGUGGACGCAUCACUGGUGUUCGGGUUGUCAUGCCAAUGGCACUGCCCGGUAGCUAAAUGCGGAAGAGAUAAGUGCUGAAAGCAUCUAAGCACGAAACUUGCCCCGAGAUGAGUUCUCCCUGAGACUUAGAGUCUCCUGAAGGAACGUUGAAGACGACGACGUUGAUAGGCCGGGUGUGUAAG